This 454-nucleotide ribosomal RNA is filed under the name uncultured Prevotella sp. Its description in RNAcentral is "partial 16S ribosomal RNA". It matches the Rfam family "Bacterial small subunit ribosomal RNA", at positions 341 to 792 of the family's 1533-position model. The record is from RNAcentral. Lineage: Bacteria; Pseudomonadati; Bacteroidota; Bacteroidia; Bacteroidales; Prevotellaceae.
ACGGGAGGCAGCAGUGAGGAAUAUUGGUCAAUGGGCGGAAGCCUGAACCAGCCAAGUAGCGUGCAGGAUGACGGCCCUACGGGUUGUAAACUGCUUUUGCGCAGGGAUAAAGAUUGCCUCGGGAGGCAAGUUGCAGGUACUGCGUGAAUAAGGACCGGCUAAUUCCGUGCCAGCAGCCGCGGUAAUACGGAAGGUCCGAGCGUUAUCCGGAUUUAUUGGGUUUAAAGGGUGCGCAGGCGGGCUGCUAAGUCUCCGGUGAAAUGUCAGGGCUCAACCUUGGCACUGCCGGAGAUACUGGCGGCCUUGAGAGUGGCGGAGGUAUCCGGAAUGUGUGGUGUAGCGGUGAAAUGCAUAGAUAUCACACAGAACACCGAUUGCGAAGGCAGGAUACCAUACCAUAUCUGACGCUCAGGCACGAAAGCGUGGGGAUCGAACAGGAUUAGAUACCCUGGUA